This 484-nucleotide ribosomal RNA is filed under the name uncultured bacterium. Its description in RNAcentral is "partial 16S ribosomal RNA". It matches the Rfam family "Bacterial small subunit ribosomal RNA", at positions 30 to 507 of the family's 1533-position model. The record is from RNAcentral.
AUUGAACGCUGGCGGCAGGCCUAACACAUGCAAGUCGAGCGGAUGAAGGGAGCUUGCUCCUGGAUUCAGCGGCGGACGGGUGAGUAAUGCCUAGGAAUCUGCCUGGUCGUGGGGGAUAACGUCCGGAAACGGGCGCUAAUACCGCAUACGUCCUGAUGGAGAAAGUGGGGGAUCUUCGGACCUCACGCUAUCAGAUGAGCCUAGGUCGGAUUAGCUAGUUGGUGGGGUAAAGGCCUACCAAGGCGACGAUCCGUAACUGGUCUGAGAGGAUGAUCAGUCACACUGGAACUGAGACACGGUCCAGACUCCUACGGGAGGCAGCAGUGGGGAAUAUUGGACAAUGGGCGAAAGCCUGAUCCAGCAAUGCCGCGUGUGUGAAGAAGGUCUUCGGAUUGUAAAGCACUUUAAGUUGGGAGGAAGGGCAGUAAGUUAAUACCUUGCUGCUUUGACGUUACCAACAGAAUAAGCACCGGCUAACUUCGUG